This 166-nucleotide unclassified non-coding RNA is filed under the name soil metagenome. Its description in RNAcentral is "partial internal transcribed spacer 1". The record is from RNAcentral.
CAGAGUUGCAAAACUCCCAAACCAUUGUGAACGUUACCUUUACCGUUGCUUCGGCGGGCGGCCCGGGUCCUGCCCGGCGCCCCUCGGCCCUCGCGGGCGCCCGCCGGAGGUAAACCAAACUAUUGCAUUGUAUGGCCUCUCUGAGUCUUCUGUACUGAAUAAGUCA